UGCCAGCCGCCGCGGUAACACGGGGGGCGCAAGCGUUAUUCGGAAUUAUUGGGCGUAAAGGGCGCGUAGGCGGUCUUGUCGGUCAGAUGUGAAAGCCCAGGGCUCAACCCUGGACGUGCAUUUGAAACAGCAAGACUUGAAUACUGGAGAGGAGAGCGGAAUUCCUGGUGUAGAGGUGAAAUUCGUAGAUAUCAGGAGGAACACCGAUGGCGAAGGCAGCUCUCUGGACAGAUAUUGACGCUGAGGCGCGAAGGCGUGGGUAGCGAACAGGAUUAGAUA
This 279-nucleotide ribosomal RNA is filed under the name uncultured bacterium. RNAcentral describes it as "partial 16S ribosomal RNA". It matches the Rfam family "Bacterial small subunit ribosomal RNA", at positions 506 to 784 of the family's 1533-position model. The record is from RNAcentral.